CUGGCUCAAGAUGAACGCUGGCGGCGUGCCUAACACAUGCAAGUCGAACGGGGUAUAUAAGCGGAAGUUUACGGAUGGAAGGUUAUAUACUUAGUGGCGGACGGGUGAGUAACGCGUGGGCAACCUGCCCCGUGCCGGGGGAUACCGCCUGGAAACAGGCGCUAAUACCGCAUAAGCGCAUACAGCCGCAUGGGUGUAUGCGGAAAGCUCCGGCGGCACGGGAUGGGCCCGCGCCCGAUUAGCCAGUUGGCGGGGUAACGGCCCACCAAAGCGACGAUCGGUAGCCGGCCUGAGAGGGCGGACGGCCACAUUGGGACUGAGACACGGCCCAAACUCCUACGGGAGGCAGCAGUGGGGAAUAUUGCACAAUGGGGGAAACCCUGAUGCAGCAACGCCGCGUGGGUGAAGGAGCGUUUCGGCGCGUAAAGCCCUGUCAGCGGGGAAGAAGAAAGACGGUACCCGACCAAGAAGCCCCGGCUAACUACGUGCCAGCAGCCGCGGUAAUACGUAGGGGGCGAGCGUUAUCCGGAAUUACUGGGUGUAAAGGGAGCGUAGACGGCGAGGUAAGCCUGAAGUGGAAGCCCGCGGCCCAACCGCGGAACUGCUUUGGGAACUGUUUUGCUGGAGUAUGGGAGGGGUAAGCGGAAUUC
RNAcentral lists this ribosomal RNA (650 nucleotides) under uncultured bacterium. RNAcentral describes it as "bacterial SSU rRNA". It matches the Rfam family "Bacterial small subunit ribosomal RNA", at positions 19 to 669 of the family's 1533-position model. The record is from RNAcentral.